Molecule: long non-coding RNA, 190 nt
Organism: Ipomoea triloba (trilobed morning glory)
Lineage: Eukaryota; Viridiplantae; Streptophyta; Magnoliopsida; Solanales; Convolvulaceae
Exons: 2
Source: RefSeq, a predicted model, not a curated record
UACAUGUUUUAGAAUAAAAAUGUGCUUAGUACAUACCAAAUAAUUAUGUGUUAUUUUCAAUUUCUUUGUAGUCUUAUAUAUAUUACUAUAGGUGAGUAGGUGCUAAAUUAUACUCAGAAAUGUAAUAAUCACAAUGUUCAAAUACAUUGUCUAAUCAAUAGAAUAAUAUUGGCAUGCAAUGAUUCAUCUC